GACGAACGCUGGCGGCGUGCUUAACACAUGCAAGUCGAACGGUAAGGCCCUUCGGGGUACACGAGUGGCGAACGGGUGAGUAACACGUGGGUGAUCUGCCCUGCACUUCGGGAUAAGCCUGGGAAACUGGGUCUAAUACCGGAUAGGACCCUGGGAUGCAUGUCCUGGGGUGGAAAGCUUUUGCGGUGUGGGAUGGGCCCGCGGCCUAUCAGCUUGUUGGUGGGGUGAUGGCCUACCAAGGCGACGACGGGUAGCCGGCCUGAGAGGGUGACCGGCCACACUGGGACUGAGAUACGGCCCAGACUCCUACGGGAGGCAGCAGUGGGGAAUAUUGCACAAUGGGCGCAAGCCUGAUGCAGCGACGCCGCGUGAGGGAUGACGGCCUUCGGGUUGUAAACCUCUUUCAGCACCGACGAAGCGCAAGUGACGGUACCUAAAGAAGAAGCACCGGCUAACUACGUGCCAGCAGCCGCGGUAA
This 478-nucleotide ribosomal RNA is filed under the name uncultured bacterium. RNAcentral describes it as "partial 16S ribosomal RNA". It matches the Rfam family "Bacterial small subunit ribosomal RNA", at positions 28 to 523 of the family's 1533-position model. The record is from RNAcentral.